This is a non-coding RNA of Halalkalicoccus jeotgali B3, 76 nucleotides long. The record is from Rfam. Lineage: Archaea; Methanobacteriati; Methanobacteriota; Halobacteria; Halobacteriales; Halalkalicoccaceae.
GGGCACGUAACUCAGCCAGGACAGAGUACCGGAUCUCGUAUCCGGCCGUCGCGUGGUUCGAAUCCCGUCGUGCCCG